RNAcentral lists this non-coding RNA (30 nucleotides) under Rattus norvegicus (Norway rat). Lineage: Eukaryota; Metazoa; Chordata; Mammalia; Rodentia; Muridae. The record is from RNAcentral.
UCCCAGGGUUAUUUUUAAAAGUCUACACUU